ACCUUACCUAAUCUCCUAAACAUAGCCGCGAUCAAACCAAUUCUCAUCGUCUCCACGAAAGAUGCAGUCCACCUUUUCUGUCACACACAAGUAGCCCUAACCCUAGAAAACUUAGAUAAACCACGAUCAACCAAGAUUCUCGAUUAAGUUAAGGAAGAUCAUCAAGAAAGAAAAGAGAAAAUCCUACCAUUGCCACCUGAUCUCGGAUGGUACGCCACAGGAUCUUCGAAGGAGCAUGGAAGUGAAUGGGACCAUGAGACGGCUUGGUAUUCAUACGCUUACGGAGAGGCAGAUCUAUUCAAUGUGCACGGUGGCGAGCGUCCACCACUACCUCCUUUGCGCAAAUACCUGAUCCACGUCACCUGCUAAGCUUUCGCCUAUGUUGUCGGAGUAGCCGGAUGGUUUCCUAGAUAAACCAAUCUGGAAUCCAAAAGAUUCUGAGCAAUUAAGUGCGGUCAAGGAAGAGAAGGCUGGGAGCUUGUACGUUUGUGGAUGCCCAGGGACUGGAAAAUCGCUUUUCCAUGGAAAACGUGAAAAGGUCUAUGCUGUUUAGGCUAAAGAGACAGGAGGUCAAUUCCCAGACAUUUUGGGCAUAAACUGUACUUCUCUCUCAACUACUUCAGAAAUUUUCAACAAGAUACUUGGAAAGAGUCAACCACAUAGUCAACAACCGUUCUACUCCCUUAAGUCAAAUUCAGCAAUUAUAUUCUCAAAAGCAAUAGUCAUCUGGCACAAAAAUGAUGUUGGUUAUUGCUGAUGAAUUGGAUUACUUGAUUACAAAGGACCAGGUGGUGCUCCAUGAUCUAUUUAUGCUAACAACAUUGCCCUUUUCAAAAAUUAUAUUGAUAGAAAGUUGCAGCUUCAUCUGGAGAUAUGAGGAAAACUCUUGGUAUCUGCAGGAACUUUGACUGAAGGAUGUUUUUGGUGAUUGGAAUUGAUAGAGAGAUUGAGAAGGAAACAUGUUGCAUUUUCCUGCUGUAGAAUAUUUUCAGCCUUAAAGUUAAAAAUUUGAAGGCUCCCAUGGUUGGUAUUAACAAAUUGGAGGUUAGAUGAGAGAGACUUUGUUAUUGAGUGGCUUUAUUGUCACAUUUGGAACUUAAGAGCACCAGCUUUGUUCAUUUCUACCUUCAAUGUUGUAUGUAACUUCAUUGUCAUA
This is a long non-coding RNA of Lactuca sativa (garden lettuce), 1156 nucleotides long. RefSeq lists it as uncharacterized. The record is from RefSeq and is a predicted model, not a curated record. Lineage: Eukaryota; Viridiplantae; Streptophyta; Magnoliopsida; Asterales; Asteraceae.